GACGAACGCUGGCGGCGUGCUUAACACAUGCAAGUCGAACGGUAAGGCUCCAGCUUGCUGGGGUACACGAGUGGCGAACGGGUGAGUAACACGUGGGUGACCUGCCCUGCACUUCGGGAUAAGCCUGGGAAACUGGGUCUAAUACCGGAUAGGACCAUGGUGUGGAUACUGUGGUGGAAAGUUUUUUCGGUGUGGGAUGGGCCCGCGGCCUAUCAGCUUGUUGGUGGGGUAAUGGCCUACCAAGGCGGCGACGGGUAGCCGGCCUGAGAGGGUGGACGGCCACAUUGGGACUGAGACACGGCCCAGACUCCUACGGGAGGCAGCAGUGGGGAAUAAUGCACAAUGGGCGGAAGCCUGAUGCAGCGACGCCGCGUGGGGGAUGACGGCCUUCGGGUUGUAAACUCCUUUCACCAUCGACGAAGGGUUUCUGACGGUAGAUGGAGAAGAAGCACCGGCUAACUACGUG
RNAcentral lists this ribosomal RNA (466 nucleotides) under uncultured bacterium. RNAcentral's name for it is "partial 16S ribosomal RNA". It matches the Rfam family "Bacterial small subunit ribosomal RNA", at positions 28 to 507 of the family's 1533-position model. The record is from RNAcentral.